This 1366-nucleotide ribosomal RNA is filed under the name uncultured bacterium. Its description in RNAcentral is "16S ribosomal RNA". It matches the Rfam family "Bacterial small subunit ribosomal RNA". The record is from RNAcentral.
UCCUGGCUCAGGAUGAACGCUGGCGGCGUGCCUAACACAUGCAAGUCGAACGAAGCUGAGAGGAGCUUGCUUUUCUCAGCUUAGUGGCGAACGGGUGAGUAACGCGUGAGUAACCUGCCCUGGAGUGGGGGACAACAGUUGGAAACGACUGCUAAUACCGCAUAAGCCCACGGCCCGGCAUCGGGCUGCGGGAAAAGGAUUUAUUCGCUUCAGGAUGGACUCGCGUCCAAUUAGCUAGUUGGUGAGGUAACGGCCCACCAAGGCGACGAUUGGUAGCCGGACUGAGAGGUUGAACGGCCACAUUGGGACUGAGACACGGCCCAGACUCCUACGGGAGGCAGCAGUGGGGGAUAUUGCACAAUGGGGGAAACCCUGAUGCAGCGACGCCGCGUGGAGGAAGAAGGUUUUCGGAUUGUAAACUCCUGUCGUUAGGGACGAUAAUGACGGUACCUAACAAGAAAGCACCGGCUAACUACGUGCCAGCAGCCGCGGUAAAACGUAGGGUGCAAGCGUUGUCCGGAAUUACUGGGUGUAAAGGGAGCGCAAGCGGACCGGCAAGUUGGAAGUGAAAAACUAUGGGCUCAACCCAUAAAUUGCUUUCAAAACUGCUGGCCUUGAGUAGUGCAGAGGUAGGUGGAAUUCCCCGGUGUAGCGGUGGAAUGCGUAGAUAUCGGGAGGAACACCAGUGGCGAAGGCGACCUACUGGGCACCAACUGACGCUGAGGCUCGAAAGCAUGGGUAGCAAACAGGAUUAGAUACCCUGGUAGUCCAUGCCGUAAACGAUGAUUACUAGGUGUUGGAGGAUUGACCCCUUCAGUGCCGCAGUUAACACAAUAAGUAAUCCACCUGGGGAGUACGACCGCAAGGUUGAAACUCAAAGGAAUUGACGGGGGCCCGCACAAGCAGUGGAGUAUGUGGUUUAAUUCGAAGCAACGCGAAGAACCUUACCAGGUCUUGACAUCCGAUGCAUAGUGCAGAGAUGCAUGAAGUCCUUCGGGACAUCGAGACAGGUGGUGCAUGGUUGUCGUCAGCUCGUGUCGUGAGAUGUUGGGUUAAGUCCCGCAACGAGCGCAACCCUUAUUGCCAGUUACUACGAAAGAGGACUCUGGCGAGACUGCCGUUGACAAAACGGAGGAAGGUGGGGAUGACGUCAAAUCAUCAUGCCCUUUAUGACCUGGGCUACACACGUACUACAAUGGCGUUUAACAAAGAGAAGCAAGACCGCGAGGUGGAGCAAAACUCAAAAACAACGUCUCAGUUCAGAUUGCAGGCUGCAACUCGCCUGCAUGAAGUCGGAAUUGCUAGUAAUCGCGGAUCAGCAUGCCGCGGUGAAUACGUUACCGGGCCUUGCACUCACCGCCCGUCA